UGCGUAGGCGGCCCGGCAAGUUGGGUGUGAAAUCCCUCGGCUCAACCGAGGAACUGCGCCCAAAACUGCCGGACUAGAGGGAGACAGAGGUGAGCGGAACUUGCGGUGGAGCGGUGAAAUGCGUUGAUAUCGCAAGGAACACCAGUAGCGAAGGCGGCUCACUGGGUCUCUUCUGACGCUCAGGCACGAAAGCUAGGGUAGCGAACAGGAUUAGAUACCCUGGUAGUCC
This 229-nucleotide ribosomal RNA is filed under the name uncultured bacterium. RNAcentral describes it as "partial 16S ribosomal RNA". It matches the Rfam family "Bacterial small subunit ribosomal RNA", at positions 568 to 796 of the family's 1533-position model. The record is from RNAcentral.